CUUGGAUGGAAAUUGACAUCAAUCUCUGCAGGGUCCCGUUGUUGCCAUAGAAACAUGAAUGCUCAGACACCAAUCUCCUGCAGCAGGGAGGUCCAGCCAGGCGCAGUGUGCGCCAAGUGCGCGGUCAUUGGAGAUUUUUGCCUUACUGGUAUCCAUAGGGUCGGCUCGGCUGUGGUGCCCUUGAGUGCUGCACUCAUUUGUCAGUAUAUUAGGCACCGCCGACCCUACACCCUCUCAGUUCCUUCUUGCCAGCAACUCUGACAGAGGGGCAGAGGCGGGUAAUGGAAUGGACAUGAGCAACGCAUCAUGAAGAACAUCCAUUACGAAAAGGCACAGUUUGCGGCAGGUGGAACUCACCAGAUCGAGCCAGUCAUCGAGAUAUGGGAAGACCUGGAUCCCUCAACAUCUCAGACCCCUGACGAGGCCGCCAAGGCCUUGGUGACGGGGGCGACCGGA
Long non-coding RNA from Mauremys reevesii (Reeves's turtle), 456 nucleotides. RefSeq lists it as uncharacterized. The record is from RefSeq and is a predicted model, not a curated record. Lineage: Eukaryota; Metazoa; Chordata; Testudines; Geoemydidae. The transcript has 4 exons.